This 390-nucleotide long non-coding RNA is filed under the name Chinchilla lanigera (long-tailed chinchilla). Its description in RNAcentral is "Nuclear RNase P (ENSCLAG00000022211.1)". The stretch from base 4 to 248 matches the Rfam family "Nuclear RNase P". Rfam says of the family: Ribonuclease P (RNase P) is a ubiquitous endoribonuclease, found in archaea, bacteria and eukarya as well as chloroplasts and mitochondria. Lineage: Eukaryota; Metazoa; Chordata; Mammalia; Rodentia; Chinchillidae. The record is from RNAcentral.
GAGUUUGCUCAUCAGUGGGGCUACGAGCUGAGUGCGCCAUGUCACUCUAGUGCGUCCCCUGGGAAGGUCUGAGACUAGGGCCAAGGGCGGCCCUAAGUGGGCCCUCCCUGAGCACGGGGAGGUGAGUUCCUAGAGAGCGGGGCUCCCUGCGAGGGCAGACCGGCCGGAGCAGAGUUUGCUCGGCGGCUCGUCCAUUUUCCCGUAACGGCAGAGGAACGUGCAUGCAAACCUGGUGAGUUUCAGUUAAAGCAGCCACCAGCAGAGGUGAAUAUUCUUUUUGGAAUUCUGCUUUAUGUAAACAUUUCAUGUGCUUUCACUCCUGCUCACUGCACACUCAUGCGUACACGAGUACAAGCAUGUGCUCCCCCUACCCUCAACCUUCAGUCACUC